GCGGAUGGCCGGAUGACCGCGUGUGCCCGGCAACGGGCAUGCGAGGAAAGUCCGGGCUCCAUGAGGCAGGGGUGCCGGGUAACGCCCGGCCGGGGCAACCCGAGGGAAAGCGCCACAGAGAAGAGACAGCCCUAUCGGCCCGGCAACGGGUCCGGGGUGAUGGUGAAACGGUGGGGCAAGAGCCCACCGCAGGACUGGCAACAGGACUGGCAUGGCAAGCCCCACCCGGAGCAAUGCCGAAUAGGGGCCCCGCGUGGAAAGGUCCGCGGCCGAAGGGCCGGGGAUACCGCCACAGGGACGGCUCAGCCCAGGGGCCCGGGUUGGCAGCUAGAUCCCGCCGGUAACGGCGGGGGCAGAGGAAUGGUCAUCGAAGGGGCGCCACGCCCCCGAACAGAACCCGGCUUACAGGCCAUCCGCGCAC
This 421-nucleotide RNase P RNA is filed under the name Paracoccaceae bacterium Fryx2. Its description in RNAcentral is "RNase P RNA component class A". It matches the Rfam family "Bacterial RNase P class A". Rfam says of the family: Ribonuclease P (RNase P) is a ubiquitous endoribonuclease, found in archaea, bacteria and eukarya as well as chloroplasts and mitochondria. Its best characterised activity is the generation of mature 5'-ends of tRNAs by cleaving the 5'-leader elements of precursor-tRNAs. The record is from RNAcentral. Lineage: Bacteria; Pseudomonadati; Pseudomonadota; Alphaproteobacteria; Rhodobacterales; Paracoccaceae.